Trachymyrmex cornetzi is the source of this 454-nucleotide long non-coding RNA. RefSeq lists it as uncharacterized. NCBI's taxonomy places the organism in Eukaryota, Metazoa, Arthropoda, Insecta, Hymenoptera, Formicidae. The record is from RefSeq and is a predicted model, not a curated record. The transcript has 3 exons.
UUUCGAUGGACAUGCCUUCAAGAUAGCAUUUACUAUCCAUUUUUAAGAAAGAAAAGCACAUUUGGAAAUUGUAUAGUUAAAGAAACGUCCACUUUGAAAUGAACUGUGACCAAAACGAAUUUCCGCAGAAUAAAAUGUCGCGAAUGCGGUCUCCACACUUCGUGAUGAGUUACAGAUCUUUCAUUGUGAUUGGACCUAUAGAUACAUACAACGUAAUUAGAAAGUUGAAAAAUAAGUAUUAAUGUAUAAUAAGGACAAUAUCAUAUUGCAGACAGAAUUUUCAAGCUGACUGCUAGUUACUAUUCAGAUUUCAUAAUAAUUGAGCAAUUAUUCAUGUACAAUAUCUAUUAAUUACUGAAUAUAUCGAUUCCACAUAUGGAGUGUUAUAUUUUAAGUGCCAAGCAGACAAAUAAGGUUCGUAAAGCCCGAAGAUACAGAAAAACAUUUCAGAUAA